UACGUAGGGUGCGAGCGUUGUCCGGAAUUAUUGGGCGUAAAGGGCUCGUAGGCGGUUUGUUGCGUCGGGAGUGAAAACACCGGGCUUAACUCGGUGCUUGCUUUCGAUACGGGCAGACUAGAGGUAUGCAGGGGAGAACGGAAUUCCUGGUGUAGCGGUGAAAUGCGCAGAUAUCAGGAGGAACACCGGUGGCGAAGGCGGUUCUCUGGGCAUUACCUGACGCUGAGGAGCGAAAGUGUGGGGAGCGAACAGG
RNAcentral lists this ribosomal RNA (253 nucleotides) under uncultured bacterium. RNAcentral describes it as "partial 16S ribosomal RNA". It matches the Rfam family "Bacterial small subunit ribosomal RNA", at positions 524 to 776 of the family's 1533-position model. The record is from RNAcentral.